UACGAAGGGGGCUAGCGUUGUUCGGAAUUACUGGGCGUAAAGCGCACGUAGGCGGGCUGUUAAGUCAGGGGUGAAAUCCCGGGGCUCAACCCCGGAACUGCCUUUGAUACUGGCAGCCUAGAGUUCGAGAGAGGUGAGUGGAAUUCCGAGUGUAGAGGUGAAAUUCGUAGAUAUUCGGAGGAACACCAGUGGCGAAGGCGGCCCACUGGCUCGAAACUGACGCUGAGGUGCGAAAGCGUGGGGAGCAAACAGG
Molecule: unclassified non-coding RNA, 253 nt
Filed under: uncultured Rhodobacterales bacterium
Lineage: Bacteria; Pseudomonadati; Pseudomonadota; Alphaproteobacteria; Rhodobacterales
Description: contains 16S-23S intergenic spacer region
Rfam family: Bacterial small subunit ribosomal RNA
Source: RNAcentral